Molecule: ribosomal RNA, 497 nt
Filed under: uncultured bacterium
Lineage: Bacteria
Description: partial 16S ribosomal RNA
Rfam family: Bacterial small subunit ribosomal RNA
Source: RNAcentral
GACGAACGCUGGCGGCGUGCCUAAUACAUGCAAGUUGAGCGCUGAAGGUUGGUACUUGUACCAACUGGAUGAGCAGCGAACGGGUGAGUAACGCGUGGGGAAUCUGCCUUUGAGCGGGGGACAACAUUUGGAAACGAAUGCUAAUACCGCAUAAAAACUUUAAACACAAGUUUUAAGUUUGAAAGAUGCAAUUGCAUCACUCAAAGAUGAUCCCGCGUUGUAUUAGCUAGUUGGUGAGGUAAAGGCUCACCAAGGCGAUGAUACAUAGCCGACCUGAGAGGGUGAUCGGCCACAAUGGGACUGGGACACGGCCCAAGAUCCUACGGGAGGCAGCAGUAGGGGAACUUCGGCAAUGGACGAAAGUCUGACCGAGCAAAGCCGCGUGGGUGAAGAAGGUUUUCGGAUCGUAAAACUCUGUUGGUAGGGAAGAAAGUUGGUGAGAGUGGAAAGCUCAUCAAGUGACGGUAACGACACAGAAAGCGACGGCUAACUACGUG